CUGGCUCAGGAUGAACGCUGGCGGCGUGCUUAACACAUGCAAGUCGAACGGAGAUAAGCGCUGAUGAAGCUCGGCAGAAUCUUGCUAUCUAGUGGCGGACGGGUGAGUAACGCGUGGGUAACCUACCUGCAACAGGGGGAUAACGAUUGGAAACGAUCGCUAAUACCGCAUAACCCGCUAGAGUCGCAUGACUCAGACGGAAAAGAUUUAUCGGUUGCAGGUGGACCCGCGUCUGAUUAGCUAGUUGGUGGGGUAACGGCCUACCAAGGCGACGAUCAGUAGCCGAACUGAGAGGUUGACCGGCCACAUUGGGACUGAGACACGGCCCAAACUCCUACGGGAGGCAGCAGUGGGGAAUAUUGCACAAUGGGGGAAACCCUGAUGCAGCCGACGCCGCGUGAGUGAUGAAGUAUUUCGGUAUGUAAAGCUCUAUCAGCAGGGAAGAAAAUGACGGUACCUGACUAAGAAGCCCCGGCUAACUACGUGCCAGCAGCUGC
This 497-nucleotide ribosomal RNA is filed under the name uncultured bacterium. Its description in RNAcentral is "bacterial SSU rRNA". It matches the Rfam family "Bacterial small subunit ribosomal RNA", at positions 19 to 518 of the family's 1533-position model. The record is from RNAcentral.